AUAUAUAUUUAUAUAUUUAUAUAUAUAUAUAUAUAUACUAUAAAUUGUUUCCUUAAAAUGGUCGGUUUUUAUAUACUUCGAAAAUAAUUACUAUAGUUAUAUAUCUUCCUAAUAUACCAAGAAGUGUUUGAAUUUAUAUCCUAUAUACUAUUAUAGUAAAAUUAUUUUAAAUUAUAUAUACAUAUACAUAUAUAUAUAUAUAUGUAUAUAUUUUAAUAAUUAUUAAUAAUUGUACCCUUUAUGUUACCACUAAUAUUACUUUAAAUUAUAUAUUCCAUGUACUAAUAAUUAUUAAAAAAUAUAUCCCACAUACAUACAUAAAUUAUAUACAUAAACUAUAUAUAUAUAUAAACCCAUUGUAAAUGACACUCUAGUGAUUAUUUUCGAAGUUUCUUAUAUCAAAGAUUAUUUCCUUCUUUUUUCUUUUUUUUUUUUUUUUUUUUUUUCUUUCGUCGAACAAAAGCCAAAGAAAAGGAAGAACGAAAAGAAGCUAAUCCUAGAAAGUAUAGAAAUAUUAAUGCUAAUUUUUAAAUUAUAUAAUCCAUAUAUAAUAUAAUAAAAAAGAAAAAGAAAACAAAUAUUUCUUAGUGUAAAAAAAAAAUAAUAAAAUUAUAUUCCAUAAUUUGUACGCACAACAAAAAGGAUCCUUGAUUUGUAUUUUCUUUUUCUCUCUUUUUUUUUUUCUUUUUUUCUUUUUUUUUCUGUCUGUAUCCUUUUUUCCUUGAACGUAAAAAGAAAAAAAAAGGGGUAAGGAGAAAGGACGGAAGGAAUAGGAAUGAAGGAAAAAAAAUGAAAAAUACGAACGAGAAAACAGGAAACAAAUAAACGAACAACCAAACAAAUAAACAAAUGGGGAUGAAGAAAUUUCUAUAUAAAAUUUCCAGAAAAAUUGUGAAAAGUAUAGAAAGGAUGUAUCUAGAGGAGAAGAGGAAGGAGGGAGAUUGCCAUAAUAAACAAUGGGAUUUAUUCAUUGAUCGAUAUUUGAUGACGUAUCCAUGGGAACCUCUGAAGGACACUCGAGAUUGGAAGCAGCAUCGGAGUACUUCCAAUCGCGGGAAGAUGAAGCACGCUUCGGGCUUCUACUAGCCCCCCAAGAGGGUGAGGAGAGAGCAGGUGAGCGACCGGAGGAGGAGGAGGAGGAGGAGGAGGAGGAGGAGGAAGAGGAAGAGGAGAAGUAGGCCUGUUAUCGAUUCAACGAUGAAGAGGAUCGAUCUCGACAUUCCGUUGUCUCAUUAUCGUUAAUCGUUAUAAUCGUUUGUCGUCAUUGUACUUUUCAAAAAAAAAAAAAAAAAAAAAAAAGAAAAAAAAAAUACGAUUAGAACAAUUAGAACGAAUAUCUUGCGUGAAUUCGUUUUUACGAGGUUUAAAAGAAAAAAAAAAAAAGAAAAGAGAGAGAGAGAGAGAGACAAAAGAAAAAAGAAAUUUCAAUUUCGUGGCUCAAUUUUGUUUUGCAUAUUAAUUUAAUUGAUAUUUUAAAAGAUAUUCAUCGAAUAAUUCGAACCAUGAUUUUUCAAGUUACAACUGGCGUUUAGAGAUUAGAAUCAAAUGUGAUACGUUCAAUUUGGCUAAUCGAUAAGAUUAAAGCUAAUUUUAAUCAGAUAAGUACGAAAUCGAAUUAAACUAUAGUAAUCGGAAUUCAAUUUGGCAACUUUUUACGAGUCGUUUCUUAAAGCUGGCAAUUAUAAUAUUUAGAUUUGUAUCGAAUUGAUUUUGCCGAACGAAUUCCAAUUCCAGUUUGAGGUGGCAGGUAGAGAGAGGGGAAAAUCAAUUUUUAUUAUUUUUUUUUUUUCCCGAUAAGAGGUAAGAAGGAGAUUUAAGAGGAUGAUUUGAUCGAAUCAAACUUUCGAUCGUGGUAAGUUGGAUUGAUCAUUGUACGAAAUUAAAAUUCAAUUUUUCUCACGUAUAAAAUAAACAAUAGAAAUGCAUUGUUGUUAACGAGUCGAAUUUAAACGAUAAUUAAAUAAACAGUUGAAAAUUGAAAUCAACGAGAGAUAAGGUGCAUUCGUUCGUGAUAUAUAAGAGAGAUCAUCGAAAAGGGAUUUGAUCGAUGAAAUUGAUUCGUUCGUAUAGAGAAAAUUGCCUCAAAAUUUUGAUCGAUCGAGCAAAUUUUAAUUAGAAUUUAAUUCUGAAAUCAAAGAAUCGUCAAUUUUCAAUUUGAACUUUAAAUAUCGCAAUAAUCAUCACUUUAUAAUUAUUUUCAAAUUUACGUUUAAAUAGAAAUUAACAGAGGGAUGAGAGAGAGAAAGAGUUGGGGGAGGGGGGGGGAGAAAGAGGGAGUAAAAAAUGAAGAUUACGUAAGAGAGAUAUCAAAAGAUCGUUUUCGAAUUAAUCGAAUGAACUAUAAUCGAGCCAGAUAAUAACUGGAAUUCAAUUUUCGUCAAAUAAACGCGCCAAUCAUUGUUCCCAAUGAUUAUAUUGAAUAUAGUAUAUCGAGGUUUGAUCAAUUGGAAAUUAUUUGGAAUCGUAUUCAAACCUGAGGAAUUAAUAGAAUUGGUUCAUAGAUCAAAACCUUAAGAGAUAUAUCGAAAAGGGAUCAGAUCAAUUUCAUCUAAUCAUUAAGAUUGUGCUCGUUCAAUCAGAUACCAAAUAGGAUACAAUUUUCGUCAAAGGAGUCAUUAUUGUUCUCUCUAGGCUAUAUAAUUCAACUUCUGAACUUGAAGCUUCUCAACCAGUUGGAAAUUAUUUCGAUGUCUAUCGAAUGGAGAUUAACAACAGUGGUAAAGAUCAAACCGUAAGAGAAAGAGACACAGAGAAAGAGAGAGAGAGAGAGAGAGAGAGAGAGAUUGAGAGAGAGA
Vespa velutina is the source of this 2795-nucleotide long non-coding RNA. RefSeq lists it as uncharacterized. The record is from RefSeq and is a predicted model, not a curated record. NCBI's taxonomy places the organism in Eukaryota, Metazoa, Arthropoda, Insecta, Hymenoptera, Vespidae. The transcript is spliced from 2 exons.